UGAACUGUGGUAGGUGAGUAAUGUUCCCUACUAGAAAGGAGAGGGCAAGGCUGGUGCCAGCCGCCGCGGUAAAACCAGCUCUUCAAGUGGUCGGGAUAAUUAUUGGGCUUAAAGUGUCCGUAGCCGGUUUAGUAAGUUCCUGGUAAAAUCGGGUAGCUUAACUAUCUAUAUGCUAGGAAUACUACUAUACUAGAGGGCGGGAGAGGUCUGAGGUACUACAGGGGUAGGGGUGAAAUCUUAUAAUCCUUGUUGGACCACCAGUGGCGAAGGCGUCAGACUGGAACGCGCCUGACGGUGAGGGACGAAAGCCAGGGGAGCGAACCGGAUUAGAUACCCGGGUAGUCCUGGCCGUAAACGAUGCAUACUAGGUGAUGGCACGGCCAUGAGCCGUGUCAGUGCCGUAGGGAAACCGUUAAGUGUGCCGCCUGGAA
RNAcentral lists this ribosomal RNA (431 nucleotides) under uncultured archaeon. RNAcentral describes it as "bacterial SSU rRNA". It matches the Rfam family "Archaeal small subunit ribosomal RNA", at positions 403 to 833 of the family's 1478-position model. The record is from RNAcentral.